This 799-nucleotide long non-coding RNA is filed under the name Capsicum annuum. RNAcentral's name for it is "long non-coding RNA (CANN_LNC000430)". The record is from RNAcentral. Lineage: Eukaryota; Viridiplantae; Streptophyta; Magnoliopsida; Solanales; Solanaceae.
UCGCCGAUAGAUUAGUUUUGGGGUGAGUUUGAUUGGUUUUUCUCGGUGGAUGAACGAGCUAUUUUGGGGGUGGGUUUGGUCGGUGCCGACAGUGAAUUUACCGCCAAAAUAGUGAUCCACAAUGGCUAUUUCUCUCCUCUCUCACUCGUUUCUCUCUGUAUUCCACCUAUCUUUCUCGUUUUUUCCCUUCUAUUUCCGAUCCCCCUCUCUUUGUUUCUACUCCCCGAUUUAUAUUUACUCUCUCUAUCUAUGUGUUUUCUUCUACCUCGCAUCUCUCACUAUGUUUCCUCUCUCUGAUAUCUCAAUUUUGAUCCCUUUUCUCUAUGUUUUUGUGUCUGUUUCUAUUAUCAGUGUGGGUAUUUUUGUGUUCCAGUGUUAAUCAAAUUGUGCUGAUAAGUGUGUAUUUGUUAUUGUAUAGGUGGAGUGGUGUGGUGUGGUGUGAGUAUUAUUAGUGAAUGGAAUCAAUAGAGGGGUCUCUGUGUGUUUUGUUGUGUGUUGAAUGGAAAUGGAGGAGUAUAUUUGGAGGAGUGUUUUCUCUCUGUGUGUGUGUAUGUGUAGUGAUUGUGAGAAUCCUUUCUUCUCCUCGGUCUGUAUGUGUAUAUGGAUGGCUAUUUUUGUGUGUAUUUUUGUGAGAGUUUUUCCCAAAGAGGUAAAAACGUGAUUCAGGUAAAAGGAAAAGGGGUACAUGGGUAUGGGGUAGGGUAGGAGUGAGGUGUUCACAUUUAAUUGAGAAGGUUGUUAUUUUGUUAAGAAUUAGUUUUUUUUUUUUUCGUAGAAAAGUUAUUAAAUAGGAUUGGGU